AAUAUUUACUACAGUUUAGUUUAUAUAACUUAUGUGGCGGAACAGGUAGACGCGUGGGACUUAAAAUCUCAUUCCAUAGGAGUGCCGGUUCGAUUCCGGUCAUAAGUAAAUUUUUAAAG
Molecule: transfer RNA, 119 nt
Filed under: Tetrahymena pyriformis
Lineage: Eukaryota; Ciliophora; Oligohymenophorea; Hymenostomatida; Tetrahymenidae
Description: partial ribosomal RNA large subunit
Rfam family: tRNA (bases 28-108)
About the family: Transfer RNA (tRNA) molecules are approximately 80 nucleotides in length. Their secondary structure includes four short double-helical elements and three loops (D, anti-codon, and T loops). Further hydrogen bonds mediate the characteristic L-shaped molecular structure. tRNAs have two regions of fundamental functional importance: the anti-codon, which is responsible for specific mRNA codon recognition, and the 3' end, to which the tRNAs corresponding amino acid is attached (by aminoacyl-tRNA synthetases). tRNAs cope with the degeneracy of the genetic code in two manners: having more than one tRNA (with a specific anti-codon) for a particular amino acid; and 'wobble' base-pairing, i.e. permitting non-standard base-pairing at the 3rd anti-codon position.
Source: RNAcentral